UACGUAGGGGGCAAGCGUUGUCCGGAUUCAUUGGGCGUAAAGAGCGCGCAGGCGGUCGUACAAGUCGCGUGUGAAAGCCCCCGGCUCAACUGGGGAGGGUCACGCGAUACUGUUCGACUCGAAGGCAGGAGAGGGAAGCAGAAUUCCCGGUGUAGUGGUGAAAUGCGUAGAUAUCGGGAGGAAUACCAGUGGCGAAGGCGGCUUCCUGGCCUGUUCUUGACGCUGAGGCGCGAAAGCUAGGGUAGCAAACGGG
This 253-nucleotide ribosomal RNA is filed under the name uncultured bacterium. Its description in RNAcentral is "partial 16S ribosomal RNA". It matches the Rfam family "Bacterial small subunit ribosomal RNA", at positions 524 to 776 of the family's 1533-position model. The record is from RNAcentral.